GACGAACGCUGGCGGCGUGCCUAAUACAUGCAAGUAGAACGCACAGUUUAUACCGUAGCUUGCUCCACCAAAGACUGUGAGUUGCGAACGGGUGAGUAACGCGUAGGUAACCUUCCUGGUAGCGGGGGGUAUCUAUUGGAAACUAUGGUUAUUACCGCCAUAUUUUAUUUUUUAAAUGUUAUUUAGUUGAAGGUGGCAAUUCGACCUCUCCCCGUGGGACUUGCGUUGUAUUCGCUCGUGGCUGCGGUAAGGGCCCACCUAGGGGCCGAUACAUAGCCGACCGGAGAGGGUGAUCGGCCACACUGGGACUGGAACACGGCCCAGACUCCUACGGGAGGCAGCAGUAGGGAAUCUUCGGCAAUGGACGAAAGUCUGACCGAGCAACGCCGCGUGAGUGAAGAAGGUGUUCGGAUCGUAAAGCUCUGUUGUAAGAGAAGAACGUGUGUGAGAGUGGAAAGUGCACACGGUGACGUAAUCGUAGCAGAAAGGGACGGCGAACUACGU
This 504-nucleotide ribosomal RNA is filed under the name uncultured bacterium. RNAcentral describes it as "partial 16S ribosomal RNA". It matches the Rfam family "Bacterial small subunit ribosomal RNA", at positions 28 to 506 of the family's 1533-position model. The record is from RNAcentral.